CUGCGCAAUUUCAAACCCACGUCCUUCGCCCAGUAGUAUAUUCUUUGCAGGCACACGUACAUUUUCAAAUGAAAUUUCAGCAUGACCAUGAGGUGCAUCAUCAAAGCCAAAAACCAUUAGUGGUCUCUUUAUGUGUACACCUGGAGUCUGAACAUCCACUAAGAUCAUGGACUGCUGCCUAUGUUGGGGAGCAGUGAAGUCAGUCUUUCCCUGCAUAUUUUUCAAAUGACCGUUUAACAACAUGGACAAUCAUAAAAACCACCCAGCCCAACCAUACUAACCAUCACUAUAAGAACUCUACACCUUGGAUCCAUGGCGCCACUUGUCCACCACUUUUUCCCAUUGAUGAUAUAUGAAUCACCUUGCCUGUACAAGGAAAGGAAAUAUAGUUACAGACAACUAAGCAGAAUAUAACAAAUUGUGUGCUUCAGAUAACUAUCACAAGUACUAACACCCUAGAAGCAAAUAUUUGAGCAUAAUUGUAUCCACUUUUAGUUAGAAAUGGACAUUUCAUCCUCGACAUGUUACCUUCUAAUAGAACACUCGAUAUUUGUAGCAUCGGAUGAUGCAACCUGUGGUUCUGUCAUUGCAAAUCCAGAACGGAUCUUUCCUUCAAGCAGUGGAAUGAGCCAUUCCAGUAGUUGUUCUUUGUUCCCAUACCGCAGCAAUACCUAUGAUGUAAAAGUAAAUGAACUAAGAGAGCAUAAAGAUGUAAAUGCACAAUGCAAGAAAAACAUACUAUAUCAUUUUACAUGCAGACUCUGAAAAGCUAUUCAGAUGCAUGACCUUUCAAAUUCAUUGAGGCAAUAAAAGCUUUUUGCAGCCAGCUUAUCUCAAACUCCUCUCCUAUGAAAAAAAGAAUCUCCAACUAUUUUAUCCAGGCAGUAUUACUUCUUUUCUUGCCAACUUUAGAUUUUAAGAGAACAUUGCAAGAAAAAAUUACUGAAUGGUGUAAGUGGUAAUUAUUCUUACAAAUAUUUACAGGCCUUAAAGAACAUGAACUCAUUUUACCUCCAUAUUUCCAGUGUCAGGCGCACCACAAUUGAACACUUGCGGAGCCCAAACAGAACGGCCCAUGAUCUCACAAAGGUAACCAUAUUCAAGGUUUGAGAGGCCUGCACCAAGUAAUUGAUCAUGUGUAUUGUUGGAGACAGCAGAGUUACUUCCAUUAAAGAUAAGUUUUCUCGCUCUUUCAGCACUAUCUAGCUGCAGAAAAGCACAAGGUCAAUGAAUUUUGUGGUUGAAACUUGUAACAUACAGUGAGGAAUGGUUAAAAGACAGCCAAGAACGAUGAGAAAAAAAUACAGGUAUCCAUAAGUUCCAAAGUCCUUCUUUCUUUGCCAUUGCCUUCAACCUCUCCUCUUCUGGAUGCACUGUCCAACGUGACGAGGACUGAGCAAGCUUGUAGAACUCAUUUUCCAAAGGAUAAAUGUGAUCUUCCAUAAACUUGAUUAAUUUUCUCCUCAAUCCCAGCACCUUUUCGCUGGGAACAAACCUCCCACCUUCUUCUGAAAAGCCCUGAACUUCGUUCUCCUUGCCAAACUGUGCUGUGUAAAUCCGUCCAAUUGGAGCUGCAUGGCAAAGAGAAAAAAUCCUUAGGCAAGAGGCUUGUAUAGAACUCUAUUGUGUAAUUCCAUUUUUCUUGACUGCCACCCUGCACAAUUCUAUUAGAUUUUUAAUAAUACCUCUCAAAUUUACAGAGCUCUAACUGGUUACUUAGGUUUCAUGAUAAGCAUUAUAUGGUUAUCAUAAAGUUGGUAGACAUAUAAAACUAAGAAAAUAUAAAGCUACCAGAUGGUGGCUGAUCUGGAAGGACUGAUUUUUUUGAGAUAAAAUCCAAUGCAAAGUCUAUCAGGCCAUUAGCUUGAUUUCCCGCAUUUCGGGCACGCUCACCUCCUGUAGCAUUACCCUGUAUUGGAGACAAAAUGAUAUCGUAUAGACCUUCCAUGACAAGAAUGUUUCCAAAAUGUUAGCAACAAAGAUACAAAAGUUUAAUGUUUAAGAGAUUACCAUAAUCCACCUACUAUGCACCCCAGCAUAAAUAGAUGCCCCACGAAACAUACCGAAGGCAACGUAGAACUUCCAUUGAUUGGCUGGCCAUGGCUUUCCCUAGAUUGCAACAAUUGCAGCAUCCAAUUUUUUUUCAAACAGUGGACUUAUACAAAAAAUCAACAGAUAAUCAUCUACAUAAGCACAAAAGAAACAUAGUUUUGGAUGCACAACUAGUUUUCUAACUUGCAACCAGAAAGUCAUCCAAACUCCACCAGAAGAGCAAUCUGCAUAAUAUAAAUAGGCUGAAAACCUAAUGGAACAUUAUUCUCAGCCAAUCAGCUUUGAUACUUUGUACACUUAUUUGUACCCCCAUCACCACCAUCUAGAUCCAUUAAUAUUUACCGACCGAGUAAAAUUUUCAACACCCAUUAAUUAACUCACAUAGAACUAAAAUUUGCAACAAUGUUCCUAGGCAAACCAAAAAGGUAAGAGAGCUUCCGAAUGAAUCUUACAGAGGCAGAGCAGUAUUCUGCCAGAUAUUCUGCUUGCGAAGGGAUUCCGUCUGGAAUUCCAGUACGUUCGAAGCCUUUACAUAAUUGUUGAUUAUCAAGGUUAAUAUCCACAAGAUAAGCCUGCCAUGAAAAUUUAACAAUUAACUUAGAUAUGUUACAGGAGCAAAGGUAAGACUUUUACUACUCAAAUCUACAUGAUUAAGUAGAAUAUUCAAGCAUCUGUAUUACAGUAUAGAAGGUAAAUACAGGAGGCAACACAGGGCUCAAUACCAUACAGCUGUAUGCAACAUCACACAUCUGGUUUCCAAGAGUAGAUAAUUCCCAGUCAAGAAUACCAAUCACCCGAUCCUGCAUCAUUGAUAGUUUCUCACCACAUUAAUGCCUCAAAAAUAUUAAAAUGUAAAAGAAUAAGAUUUAACUACAGUAACAAUAUAAUAGCAUAAUCGCUACUGCAUCCACAUUUCUUUCAGCAUAAUAAACUUGAUAGAAAGAGACACUCAAAUAAGCAUCUAAGCAUCCACAUGGAUUGAAAAGAGAUGAAUUAUAGUGUGUUCAAAUUUAUGACUUCUAAAACAACAGACCUCAAUGGGAUGAAAUACAACAUUAUCCAUGCGAAAAUCUCCAUGAACUAUUCCGGCUGAUGCUCCCAAGGAAUCUUCAGGAGGAAUAUUUUGCUGUAACCAAUGAGUGAGAUCCAACAUCUUGGGAUAUCUAGGAGAUUUACCCUCACCAGUUGAAGCAAUGUAUUGUUUGGCCCAUCUCUCUACCUAAAAAUGAAAAUAAAUCAUAAGCACCACCAUUAAGUCGUAUCAAUGGAGUAGCUUCCUUGCGCACUAAAUAAACCUUAACUGAUAUUAUCACAAAAUUUCUCUCUUCUAUGUGAGAAAUUAUACAAUACAACAAGAACUAAUAUGCAGAGAUAUAAAAUUCACUCACCUGUCGUUUACAAUAAUUAUCACGGCGUCCAUAUUUCCCUAAACCAAUAGAAUCCACAUCGGCAGUGUGAAGAGCAGCCAGCACUCUUGCAGUUUCAAGGUAUAUUGCCCUCCUCCUCAGAGGUGCUACUCCCUUAUCAAACAAAAUUUCGGUUUAAUAUUACGAGUCCUCAAACUUAUAUCACAACAAUUCACAAAGAAACCCAGAUUAUUGAGUGUGUUUGUAAAGACUUAGAAUGCUAAUUGAGUUUUAUAUUAGUCAAUUGUUGUGCUUGUAAAGCCCGGAGUUGCUACAAUAAAAUUAAAAGAAGAAGCAUUGUGAAAUAAAUAAGAACAUGCCAAAAAUGACCUGAUUUUUCAAAAAUUUAAUUCGGAUGAACUGAUGCACAUGAUUUUUAACAAACAAAGCCAAUGUGUCUACCAGGUCAAAUUUACCAAAAAGAACACAAAAUCAGAAAUAAUGGGAUACCGGUAACUUGGGGUCAACGAAAAUGCGUCCUUCCAAAUACUCCAUAAUGUAAAAUGCAGUUCCAAUUACAGUUGCAUCUGUACACAAACAGUACACUUUUGGAGCUGGAACAUUUGUGUGCUCACCUAGCGCUCGCAGAACCUGUAGAACAAAAAAAGAGAUUGAGCCUUGUGAUAGAAAACAGUAAGGAAUUUUAUCUUUCUCAGGAAAAAGCAGUAAAGAGAAUCAAUAAACCGAGAUUACCAUAUACUCUCUGUCCACGGCAUGAGCAGACGGAAGCAAUUUGCCAGGUGGCUUCUUCCUCAAAACGUAUCGUUUAACAGCGACUCCAUUAGCAGCUUCCAACAGAAACGUAGGGUUUGAUUGUCCAUGCCCGAACUAAAAAUUUAAUUAAUUAAGUAAUCAAUUAACGCACAAAAUCGAACGUUAGAAGAAAAUAGAAUAAACAACAAGAAAAGGAGAAGUGUAAAGAAUUCGGGAUAGUUACCUGUUGGACGACGAAGGUCGAAGGAGAAACAGGACAAUCAGCGACGUUAGAAGAGAUGUAGCGAAGUAAGGCGUCGCGAUCAAAUUCGUGAGCUGCUUGAACGGGUUUUAACAAGUCAGAUGUACGUAAGGCCAUCGAUUUCUAGUUUUGUGAAAGAAGUUGGAAUUUUUAUCAGUGGUUUGGGCGUUGGAGCAUAUGAACAUGAAAUGAAUAUGGGAUUGAGUAAUGUGAUGUCAUCUAUUUUGUUGCUUUGAAAAUAUCGAAUAGACACAUUUACAUGGGUGUCACAUAAUACUAUUUUAAUUAUUAAAUUUAUUGAAUUUAAUUUUAAAUGUUAAAUGAAAAUUUUCCUAAUAGAGUAAUAGACUAUUUUCUAAUAAUUACAUAUGUAAGAUUUAGUAAUGUUUAUAUUUUAUUUUAUAAAGUAUACAAAACUUUUUAAUAAAUUAACAGUUAUUAAAAAUAAAACUUUUAUAAUAUUGAUGUGAUGUCACAUUUGUGAAUUAAACAUUAUAAUCACAGUAGGAUAAGGACUGAUUAGUUAUCCUUUUACGUGCGAGUGGUGUGUGCAUGCACAUUACGCGCUAAAACAGGUAAAUUUUGUGGAGACAAUACACAGACAGGACUUGUGAGAGAGUUUGGCCAAAUUUUCGUACUUGUUUUCACAUUUUCAAUCUGAUGCAUGCCAACACGUUUCUAAUCUAUUGGCUUAUUGUCGAUUGUGUUUCUUAAUUUUUUUCUAAGAAAGUUUUGAUAUCAGAUCUAAAUCAUAAGAAGAUUUAGAAAAAAAAAAACUGAUUUUUAUAGUUUUAGCUAAUGGAUUUAAGGGGUUUUAUUUCUCUUAAUCGAGAAUCUCAAAUUAAUUGUGUCUCUAGACAUAUAUUCGCUUUUGGAAUCUUCUAUUUUAUGAAACAUGAGCUACGAGAAUGAAAUGAUUGCACUUAAACCUAAAACAAAUCAUACGUACGAUAGAGUGGUAUGUCUUGAACAAAUUGUGAUGAAAAUACAGUCUAUUUAUUUUAUUAUAAGUUAUUUAUCAUAUCUUAUCAUUCUCGAUAAAUGGACAACCUAAAAAGGCCAUGUAAAGGUGUUGGUGUUGGGCUACGUUGGAUCCAGCACAAAAAUUGGUAAAGGAAAAGAAAAAAAAAAAGAAAACCCUUUCCCUUUUUCCUAUUUUUUGUGUGUGCGAUGGGGAGAGAAGGAGAGAGAGAAAGAGAGAGAGAAGGAGAAAGAGAAGGAGAGAGAAAUAGAAGAUGGUGAAGAAGAAGAAAACGAAGAUAAAGGUGAUCUCUUUGAUUCCAUUACCUUGAUUGAGUCUCUUCCAGUUUGUAAGUAGAGUAUUUCUUAGUUUUCUCAAAUCUGAGUUUGCUUGGGUUUGGAUGAAAUUGGGGUUGGAAGCAGGUAUUUUCUGUAAUGUGUUACCUCUUGUAUUAUCUCUCUAUUAGCAGAUAUAUAUCUCAAGUUUAGGGCUAAAACUUGAGAAGAACAAUUGUAUCCGUUUUGUUGGUAUAGUGAAAGUUUGUCGGUGUGCCUGUGGUUUUUUACCUUCCAAGUUGAGAGGGUUUUCCAUGUAAAUUUGAUGUCUCUUGUGUAAUUGUGCUUGAUUGUUUAUUUACUUUGGCUUGUGCAUUUAAAUGUUGAACCUCUGGUACCAAUCGGUACGGUGCUCAAUUUAUCCAUUUCUCAUUGGUUGAUUACACAAUUGCAUUUCUCUUAUUUGGUAUUGAAAGAUAAAAAUCCUAACAAGUGGUAUCAGAGCCUCAAGUUUCCUUUGAGAGUGCUUUUGUAGGUUGAGAUAGAAGGUAGUAGCACCAUGAUCAAGUUGACAAACAACAACUGGCAGAUAUGGAAAUCCAAAAUGGAGGAUAUCCUUUACUGCAAGGAUUUUUAUGAACCGGUUGAGGAAGAUAGUGCAAAGUCGAAAGAUAUGGCCUCUGCUGAUUGGGCUAAAUUGAAUCGAAAGGCGGUCGGCACAAUCAGACAAUGGCUUGAUGACAGCGUAUAUCACCAUGUAGCGAGUGAGAUGAGCGCACAAAAGUUAUGGAAGAAGCUGGAGUCGCUGUAUGAGCAGAAAACUGCAGCUAACAAGGCAUUUCUGAUCCAAAAACUGAUGAAUCUGAAAUUUAGAGAAGGUACAAGUGUUGUUGAGCAUCUAAAUGAGUUCUAGAGCCUGAUCAAUCAAUUGUCAGCGAUGAAGAUGACCUUCGAUUAUGAGUUACAGGCUUUGUUGCUUUUGGGAUCAUUGCCGAUAGUUAGGAGACCUUGGUUGUGACAAUCAGUAAUGCAGCUCCGAAUGGUGUGGUCACUAUGAGUAUAGUUACUAGUAGCUUGUUCAACAAUGAGACAAGAAGAAAGUCAACUAAUACAAAUGGUGCACAUGCCCUUGCCACAGAGAAUAGGGGGAGAGCUGAAUACAGACAACAAUCAAGAGGUCGUGGCAAGUCCAGAGGCAGGUCAAAGUCCAAGGGAAGACAGUGCUACCAUUGUGGUAAAGAAGGUCACAUGAAGAAAAAUUGUAGAGCCUGGAAAAGACUACAGAAUGAGGGCAAAAAUCAGAAGAAAGAGGAUGAUAACAAGAAUACCACAGCCACAUUAACUGCAGAUGAUGUAGUGAUUCUCUCUUGUGAAGAGGAGCAAUGUCUACAUGUGGAAGGUCACCAAGGAGUCGACUGGAUAGUUGAUACAGGUGCUUGCUAUCAUGCUACACCAAAUAAAGAGUUCUUCGUGACUUACAAAGCUAAAGAGUUUGGUACAGUGAAGAUGGGUAACACUAGUCACUCGAGCAUCGUGGGUAUUGGUAACAUUUGUCUGCAGACAGAUAUGGGAUGUCGGUUAACACUAAAAGAUGUGCGGCAUAUUCCUGAUUUAUGCCCAAAUCUAAUAUCUGGUGAUGCAUUGGACAAAGAUGGAUUCAAGCAUUACCUAGGAGGUGGAGAAUGGAAGCUCAGCAAAGGAUCAAUGGUUGUAGUAAGAGGGAAGUCGUGGCACUCCCUAUACAGAAUCCAUGCGAAGGUGCUCAAGAAUGGGUUGAAUGCAGUACAAGCUGAAAAUUCUCUAAAUCUGUGGCAUCAACGCCUUGGCCACAUGAGUGAGAAAGGAUUACAAAUCUUAGCGAGGAAGUCACACAUCCCCUCUACCAAAGAUGAGAUUCUAGAUCCAUGCGUCUAUUGCCUAUUUGGUGAGCAACAUCGAGUCUCUUUUAGUUAAACAUCAGAAAGAAAAUAUAAGGUAUUGGAUUUAGUUUACUCUGAUGUGUGUGGUCCCUUUGAGGUGGAGUCUUUGGGUGGCAAUCGAUAUUUUUUGACCUUUAUUGAUGAUGCAUCUAGAAAGGUAUGGGUUUAUUUUCUAAGAACGAAGGACCAGGUGCUCAAAUGUUUUCAAGAGUUUCAUGUCAUGGUAGAGAAGGAGACAGACAAAAAGUUGAAAUGCCUCCGUUCUGACAAUGGCAGAGAGUAUACCUCCAAGGAGUUCAAAGCAUAUUGUGCACAAUAUGGAAUUCGAUAUGAGAAGACAGUACCUGGAACCUCACAACACAAUGGUGUAGCUGAGAGAAUGAAUCGCACUACUGUAGAGAAGGUCAGAUGCAUGCAAAAGAUGGCAAAGUUGCCGAAAUAGUUUUGGGGAGAAGCAGCUCGCACCGCUUGCUACCUCAUAAACAGGUCACCAUCUAUUCCUUUGAAGUUUGAGAUACCAGAAAGAGUAUGGUCCAAUAAGAAUAUGACAUACUCUCAUCUAAGAGUGUUCGGAUGCAAAGCAUAUGUGCACAUUCCAAAGGAGCACAGAUCCAAGUUGGAUAACAAAGCAACUCCAUGUAUUUUCCUUGGGUAUGGAAACGAGGAAUUUGGAUACAGGUUAUGGGACCUAGAAAAGAAGAAAAUUAUCAAGUGCAGAGAUGUUGUAUUCUAUGAAGGCCAAACAAUGAUAGAUCAGAAAAUCGAUAAAAAGUCAGAGAGAUUUGGUGAGUCCAUAGAACUCACAUCAGUUCCUUUACCUGGACAGCCAGCAACAGCAGAUGAAGAUGAACAUAAUGAAGAAGCCACUGAGGAAACCUCUGACAUGAUUGGUAAUGAUGGUGAUGAUGAGGUCGUUUAUGAUGCUCAUGAACAAAAGGAGCAACAUCAUCAAGGGGAACCAUAAGAGCUCCAGGUAAGAAGGUUUGAAAGAUAGCACCAACCUUCUAAAAGAUACCCUUCUUCAGAGUAUAUCUUAUUGACGGAAGAAGAAGAACCAUAUAGUUUUCAGGAGGCACAAGCUUAUAAAGACAAGGCUAAGUGGCAUGAUGCAAUGAAGGACGAGAUGCAGUCAUUGCAAGAAAAUGGAACAUAUGAGCCGGUGGAGCUUCCUAAGGGCCGAAAGACAUUGAGGAACAAAUGGGUGUUCAAGCUAAAAAGAGAUGGAAAUGGAGAAAUUGUGAAGUACAAAGCCAGAUUGGUAGUGAAGGGUUUUGGGCAAAAGCAAGGUAUCGACUUUGAAGAGAUUUUCUCACCAGUGGUGAAGAUGACUUCCAUCCGUACAGUGUUAGGUCUAGUCGCUAGUUCGGACCUUGAGCUUGAAUAACUUGAUGUGAAAACUGCAUUCCUUCAAAGUGACUUGGAGGAAGAGAUCUAUAUGGUGCAACCAGAGGGAUUUGAAGUAAAAGGAAAAGAGAACAUGGUCUGCAAAUUGAAGAAGAAUCUGUACGGAUUGAGACAAGCUCCGAGACAGUGGUAUAAGAAGUUCGACUCUUUCAUGAUGAAUCAUGAGUACCAGAGAACCAAGGCAGAUCCAUGUGUUUACUUCAAAAGAUUUGCUAAUGAAAAAUUUCUAAUCCUUUUUCUUUUAUGUUGAUGAUAUGUUGAUUAUAGGACAAGAUGCUAAGAUGAUAGCCAUGUUGAAGAAUGAGAUGUCCAAGUCAUUUGACAUGAAGGACAUGGACCAAGCGCGCCAGAUAUUGGGCAUGCAGAUUACCCGUGAUAGAAAGGCCAAGAGACUUUGGUUGUCACAGGAGAAGUACAUUGAAAGGGUGCUUGAGAAAUUCAACGUGAAAGGACAAAGGAAGUAAGUUGUCCACUUUCUAGCCAUUUGAGACUGAGCAAGAAACUAUGUCCAUCUACAGAGAAAGAAAAGGAUGAAAUGUCAAGUGUGCCAUACUCCUCAGCAAUAGGGAGUUUGAUGUAUGCGAUGGUUUGCACCAGGUCAGAUAUAGCUCAUGCAGUUGGUGUGGUAAGCAGAUUUCUCUCUAAUCUUGGAAAACAACAUUGGGAAGCAGUGAAGUGGAUACUUAGAUACCUAAGAGGCAUUUCCAAGUUGUGUUUGAGUUUUGGAAAAUGUGAAUCUGUGCUAGAAGGCUACACAGAAGCUGAUAUGGCUAGUGAUUUGAAUCAUAGAAAGUCUAUUUCGGGUUUUGUGUUUACUUUUAUAGAGGGAUCCGUGCCGUGGCAAUCCAAACUGCAGAAAUGUGUGGCUUUGUCGACUACAGAAGCAGAAUACAUUGCAGCCACCAAAGCUGGCAAGGAGCUAUUGUGGUUGACUAGAUUGCUUUUGGAGCUUGGUAUGCAACAUGAAGAGGCAGUUGUUUUCUGUGAUAGCCAGAGUGUCAUAGACUUGAGCAAGAAUGCUACGUAUCAUUUCAGAACUAAGGACAUUGAUGUGAGAUUUCAUUGGUUGAGAGAUGCUAUAGAGUACCAGCAGAUGAAGCUGAAGAAAAUCCACACUGAUAAGAAUCCAUCAGACAUGUUGACGAAGAUAGUUUCAAGAAACAAGCUUGAGCUUUGUUGCUGGCUUGUCGACAUGGAUACCAAGUGAUGACUUGAAGAUGGGUGUGCCUUUCUCCAUGGGCUGGAGGGGGAGAUUGUUGAUGUUGGGCCAUGUUGGGUCCAACCCAAAAAUUGGCAAAGGAAAAAAAAAAAAAAAACCCUUCCCUUUUUUCCAUUUUUUGUGUGUGCAUCAAGGAGAGAGAAGAGAAGAGAGAGAAAGAGAGAGAGAAGGAGAAGGAGAAAGAAAUAGAAAGUGGUGAAGAGAAGAAAACGAAGAAAAAAGUGAUCUUUUUUAUUCCAUUACCUUAAUUGAGUCUCUUCCAGUUUGUAAGUAGAAUAUUUCUUAGUUUUUUCAAAUCUGAGUUUGCUUGGAUUUGGAUGAAAUUGGAAUGUGAAGCAGGUAUAUCCUAUAAUGUAUUAUCUCUCUAUUAAUAGAGAUAUACCUCAAGUUUAGGGCUAAAACUUGAGAAAAACAAUUGUAUCCGCUCUGUUGAUAUAGUGAAAAUUUACCAGUGUGCCCGUGAUUUUUUACCCUCCAAUUUGAGAGAGUUUUCCACGUAAAUUUGGUGUCUCUUGAGGAUUGUGCUUGAUUGUUUAUUUAUUUUGGCUUGUACACAAUUUAUCCAUUUCUCAUUGAUUGAUUACACAGUGCAUUUCUCUUAUUUGGUAGUGCAUUUCUCUUAUUUGGUAUUGAAAGAUAAAAAUAUUAACAAAAGGGUCUACAAGAAGAAAAAUCAUACUUGGCCUUAGUUAUUUUCCUCGUGUGUAGAGAAGAGUUAUCAACUAUAAUGCAUUCACUCUCGUUAUAGAAUAGAAUAGGUGCUGGUAGGGACCUGCCGUACGCAUGAAUCGCUUUUCUUUGCAUUAAAAGUGAUAAUAACUGUUUAAGAGAAAAAAGAAAAUGAAAAGAAAAAUAAGUUGGUCAAUUCAGAGACGUCCAAAAAUAAAAUAAUGGAUUCCGAGACUCAUCUCAGAACAGUAGUGGUAUUCUGCCAUUGGCAUUGACAUGUGUUGUUAAUCAUGCGAAUUUUAUUUGUCAUUUAUAAAAAUCCAUAAUUAUACUCUCUCAUGUCUUUUUUCUUUUAUUUUUUAGAAAAAAAAAAGUUAAUUAUUUCUCCCCUUUUUCGAUUGUUUUAUUUUUACCACUCUCUUCCUUCAACUUCUAAAGGUAAAUAAACUCGCUUACGUUUUCCUGCUAAUGCUUGCUGCAGGGUGACGGCAGUCGAGAUUUCAGAUCCCAGACGAGGCAAGUUCUACUCGCAUGCUUUCAGAGCUUAGCUCUCUGUAACUCUAACUUGGCAAUGGUACCCAAGUGGACUUCAUCAGGGCCAUCUGCAAUUCUCAAUGUUCUUGCUGUAGCCCAAAGAUGUGCCAAAACGGUAUCCGAUGACAGGCCUGCUGCCCCAUGCACUUGCAUUGCCAUGUCAAGAACCUUCAAUGCCAUGUUUGGAGCUGCUACCUGUUACACAUUAUUCCCCAUCUUUGUUUAAUUAGUAUUCUUAAUCGUAUUAAGUUUGACAACAGUAUUAUUUAGAUAAACAAAUUUACCUUGGCCAUUGCAAUAGUUCCCCGAGCCUUUUUGUUCCCAAGCCUAUCAAGCUGGUCCGCAGCCUCCAAAAUCAACAGUCUGGUUUCUUCCACUUCUACUCGGCACUGCUUAAAAACAGUCAAUUUUACAGGACUACUAUGAAAUUCCUGGAUUUUUGCUGAAACUUAACAGUUACCCAUUUUCUUCAAGUAAAUAUAAAGAAAACUAAUCCAAGAUAAAUGUACUCUCUGACAAAAUGCUAAGUCAAAAUACCUUCGCAAUAUCUGAACGAAAUGAUCCAUGCUCAGCAAUCAAUUUUCCGAACACUCUUCUACUGAGAGCCCUUUGAACCAUCAAUUGCAUUCCACGCUCAGCAGCACCAAUCAAUCUCAUGCAGUGGUGCAAUCUUCCAGGACCCAGUCUACCCUGCAAGAAAAAAUAGCCAUGAAUGAUGUCAUAUUCACUUGGAAGCUGAAGUUUCAAACCAUAUAUGAAGUCAGCCAGCUUGAGUACAUCAAUUUUCUCAGUUAACAACCAUAUUUACUUUAAAUAUAGAAACUCAGAAGUGUUAGCAUCUCAAGAGGUUCUAAAGUAUAUUACACAUGCCUAAUAAAGAACUGGUAGAAAAUUGGCACACAUGGCGAAAUUUAUAAAUCUUGUCUAUACAAGUCUUUAUAAAUUAUAAGUAUAUAAGCUUGCACUUCAACCCUGACAACAAGUUGACAGCCUUGAAAUUGAACUAAAAGUUUGUUCAUAGAUCAUCAAAAUAUCGAAACAAGCUUGUCUACCACCGUGUUAAUCCAUUAUACUACUUCAGAAUGAAAGAACUGUCUUUACCUGGGCAAUCUCAAACCCACGCCCUUCUCCCAGUAGGAUAUUCUUUGCAGGCACACACACAUUUUCAAAUGAAAUUUCAGCAUGACCAUGAGGUGCAUCAUCAAAACCAAAAACCAUUAGUGGUCUCCUUAUCUGUACACCUGGAGUCUGGAUAUCCACUAAGAUCAUGGAUUGCUGCUUAUGUUGGGCAGCAUUGAAAUCAGUUUUUCCC
This 12706-nucleotide long non-coding RNA is filed under the name Ricinus communis (castor bean). RNAcentral's name for it is "long non-coding RNA (RCOM_LNC000822)". The record is from RNAcentral. Lineage: Eukaryota; Viridiplantae; Streptophyta; Magnoliopsida; Malpighiales; Euphorbiaceae.